Molecule: ribosomal RNA, 467 nt
Filed under: uncultured bacterium
Lineage: Bacteria
Description: partial 16S ribosomal RNA
Rfam family: Bacterial small subunit ribosomal RNA
Source: RNAcentral
GAUGAACGCUGGCGGCGUGCUUAACACAUGCAAGUCGAACGGAAAGGCCCAAGCUUGCUUGGGUACUCGAGUGGCGAACGGGUGAGUAACACGUGGGUGAUCUGCCCUGCACUUCGGGAUAAGCCUGGGAAACUGGGUCUAAUACCGGAUAGGACCACAUUUUGGAUGGUGUGGUGGAAAGUUUUUCGGUGUGGGAUGAGCUCGCGGCCUAUCAGCUUGUUGGUGGGGUAAUGGCCUACCAAGGCGUCGACGGGUAGCCGGCCUGAGAGGGUGUACGGCCACAUUGGAACUGAGAUACGGGCCAGACUCCGACGGGAGGCAGCAGUGGGGAAUAUUGGACAAUGGGCGAAAGCCUGAUGCAGCGACGCCGCGUGGGGGAUGACGGCCUUCGGGUUGUAAGCUCCUUUCGCUAGGGACGAAGCGUUUUUGUGACGGUACCUGGAGAAGAAGCACCGGCUAACUACGUG